UGGGGAAUAUUGCACAAUGGCGGGAACUCUGAUGCAGCGACGCCGCGUGAACGAAGAAGGCUUUCGAGUCGUAAAGUUCUUUUAUAUGGGAAGAUAAUGACUGUACCAUAAGAAAAAGCCCCGGCUAACUACGUGCCAGCAGCCGCGGUAAUACGUAGGGGGCUAGCGUUGUCCGGAAUCACUGGGCGUAAAGGGUUCGCAGGCGGAAAUGCAAGUCAGGUGUAAAAGGCAGUAGCUUAACUACUGUAAGCAUUUGAAACUGCAUAUCUUGAGAAGAGUAGAGGUAAGUGGAAUUUUUAGUGUAGCGGUGAAAUGCGUAGAUAUUAAAAAGAAUACCGGUGGCGAAGGCGACUUACUGGGCUCAUUCUGACGCUGAGGAACGAAAGCGUGGGUAGCAAACAGG
This 403-nucleotide ribosomal RNA is filed under the name Fusobacteriota bacterium. RNAcentral describes it as "Fusobacteria bacterium partial 16S ribosomal RNA". It matches the Rfam family "Bacterial small subunit ribosomal RNA", at positions 355 to 776 of the family's 1533-position model. Lineage: Bacteria; Fusobacteriati; Fusobacteriota. The record is from RNAcentral.